Molecule: long non-coding RNA, 821 nt
Organism: Neogale vison (American mink)
Lineage: Eukaryota; Metazoa; Chordata; Mammalia; Carnivora; Mustelidae
Exons: 3
Source: RefSeq, a predicted model, not a curated record
AGGCGGAGCGGACACGGGCUGCAGGGGAGGGCGGGGUUGGUGGGUUCGCGCCUCUGAGGGCUCGCGGCACUGGGCGACAGGCCGAGUGCGGGCAUCGGAAUGCGGGCGGCGGCGAGUGAUACAGUCAGUGAGUUUGCUGAGUGCCUAGUAAGUGCGAGGCACCUUUGCGGUCCCCGCUCCUCUUCCUGACGGCCUGUGAGCAGGAGCGGGGUGCGUCACUGGGACCACGGCUCACCGACUGCGGGUCCCAGCUCACCUGCACCUGGGCUUCUGAGUCUACAGAAGAGCCAGUCUGAGGCCUCAGAAGAAUUCCGGCAAGUUGGAGACCGGAUAGACAACCACAAGGAAAAAGACCAACCUCAGUGGCAAACUGCAUUAGCAGACAAGGAAGCACGGAAGGAUCAAAGUGGCCAAGAAUUCACAACCUUCAGAAAAAUCAUUUAUCAAGGCUCAGACUUUGUUUCUAUAAGGCAAAGACUCUCUAAAUACAAGUGUUCAAACAUAAUUUAAACUUUCUCCAUGUAAGUAAAGGCUUUUUUGUUUCAUAAAAAUGUUACAUUAAUGGAUUUUUCUGCUUCUCAGCAACACUCUUAAGCAAGGAGGAUAACGACAGUCACACGUAUCCUAAUGUUUUACAGCUUGAGGAAACAAUCAUAAGGAGUGUGUCUAAGACGCAGAGGUACUAAGCAGUAUAGCAAGCAUUAGCCCCCUACUCCAAGUCACAGUCUGUGGCUCCUUUGUAAAGCCCGUUUGUGUGCUUUUCCACGAGGCCCUUCAUCCCUCCAGACUUCACCCGACAGAAUAAAGGUGGGAACAUCGUA